RNAcentral lists this ribosomal RNA (445 nucleotides) under uncultured bacterium. RNAcentral's name for it is "bacterial SSU rRNA". It matches the Rfam family "Bacterial small subunit ribosomal RNA", at positions 331 to 792 of the family's 1533-position model. The record is from RNAcentral.
CCAGACUCCUACGGGAGGCAGCAGUGGGGGAUAUUGCACAAUGGGGGGAACCCUGAUGCAGCGACGCCGCGUGAAGGAAGAAGCGUCUCGGCGUGUAAACCUCUAUCAGCAGGGAAGAAAGAGGACGGUACCUGACUAAGAAGCCCCGGCUAACUACGUGCCAGCAGCCGCGGUAAUACGUAGGGGGCGAGCGUUAUCCGGAUUUACUGGGUGUAAAGGGAGCGUAGACGGCAGUGCAAGCUCGGUGUGAAAGCUGGGGGCCCAACCCGCGGACUGCUCUGAGAACUGUAUGGCUGGAGUGCCGGAGGGGCAGGCGGAAUUCCUGGUGUAGCGGUGAAAUGCGUAGAUAUCAGGAGGAACACCGGUGGCGAAGGCGGCCUGCUGGACUGCGACUGACGUUGAGGCUCGAAAGCGUGGGGAGCGAACAGGAUUAGAUACCCCUGUA